GCGCCCCUAGCUCAGCUGGAUAGAGCGCCUGACUACGGAUCAGGAGGUCGGGGGUUCGAAUCCUCCGGGGCGCGCCA
This 77-nucleotide transfer RNA is filed under the name Micavibrio sp. TMED27. Its description in RNAcentral is "tRNA-Arg". It matches the Rfam family "tRNA". From Rfam's summary of the family: Transfer RNA (tRNA) molecules are approximately 80 nucleotides in length. Their secondary structure includes four short double-helical elements and three loops (D, anti-codon, and T loops). The record is from RNAcentral. Lineage: Bacteria; Pseudomonadati; Bdellovibrionota; Bdellovibrionia; Bdellovibrionales; Pseudobdellovibrionaceae. RNAcentral also lists the same sequence under 1 other name.